UUCAUACGUAAUAACGUGAGACUGCGGACGGCUCAGUAUAUCAGUGAUUAUCUGUUUGAUUGUAUAUCCCAAUGGAUAACCGUGGGAAAUCUAGAGCUAAUACAUGUAGUUAAUUGGCGUGCUCUCGGGUGCGUCAAAGCAUUUAUUAGAUUAAACCUUCUACUACUCUGUAGUAAGACGAAUCUAGAUAACUUUGCUGAUCGUAUGGCCUCGUGCCGGCGACGUUUCAAUUGAGUUUCUGCCCUAUCAACUUGUUGGUAAGGUAUUGGCUUACCAAGGUUGCAACGGGUAACGGGGAAUCAGGGUUCGAUUCCGGAGAAGGUGCCUGAGAAACGGCAACUACAUCCAAGGAAGGCAACAGGCGCGCAAAUUACCCAAUCUAGACAGUAGGAGGUGGUGAAGAGAAUUACUGGGUGGUGGUUCAAUGAACUACCAACUCGGAAUGGACGUAACUUAAGCAAUUCGUUGAUAAACAACUGGAGGGCAAGUCCUGGUGCCAGCAGCCGCGGUAAUUCCAGCUCCAGUAGUUUGCUUUAAAGUUGUUGCGUUUAAAACGCUCGUAGUUGGAUCACGCAACAGUGUGCGGUAAUCUAUUCACUGUACUAGAUUCUUCGGUCGCUCAUCGAAAGAUGACUUUCGUGGUCUGGUUGGUGAUAGAUAUAAAAGCUGACCACUGUUAAUUGCACGUGAAAUGGAUUGUUGACCUUAGGUGAGUCGGUAAUCCUGUUUCGCGGAGUGUGCCUUGAAUAAAACAGAGUGCUUAAAGCAGGUUUACGCUUGUAUGUUAUAGCAUGGAACGAACAAUAGUGUAUACGUGCACGGUUUUCAGUAGUGACAGGCUUAUGGUUUGUCGUUGCUGGAGGCGUGUACAUCACCCACUAAAAUAUGGUCGUUGGUUCCAUAUACGGUGAUGAUUAAAAGGAGCGGUUGGGGGCAUCAGUAUUUGGCCGCGAGAGGUGAAAUUCUUGGACCGGCCAAGGACUAACAAAUGCAAAGGCACUUGUCUAGACCGUUUCCAUUAAUCAAGAACGAAAGUGGGAGGUUCGAAGACGAUCAGAUACCGUCCUAGUUCCCACUGUAAACUAUGCCGACCUGGAAUCGGUUUAGAGAUGCUACAAGCUCUAAAUCGGUUCCCCUGGGAAACCUUAAGUUUUUCGGUUACGGGGAGAGUAUGGUCGCAAGGCUGAAACUUAAAGGAAUUGACGGAAGGGCACCACCAGGGGUGGAGCCUGCGGCUUAAUUUGACUCAACACGGGGAAACUUACCUGGUCCGGACAUCGAUAGGAUACACAGACUGAUAGAUCUUUGUUGAUGCGAUGAGUGGUGGUGCAUGGCCGUUCUUAGUUCGUGGAGUGAUCUGUCAGCUUAAUUGCGGUAACGAACGAGACCACAGUCUCCAUUUAAGGAACAGAAAUAGAUAAUCUAUUGCGGUUACUUGUAGCUACAGUAGGUUGUUGUUGGUUAGAAGUGCGAUUGUAUGGCAACGUUUCAGAGGAGCAAUCUAAUGAGGCGAAGUCGUGCGAUUGAGCUUUUUCCUUUCUGUCGAGCAGUUAUUAGUAUCCACUAGUAGCUGCCUUAUGGAGAGACAACGAGGUAUAUUCAAGCUCGAGGAAGAGUGGCUAUAACAGGUCAGUGAUGCCCUUCGAUGUUCAGGGCUGCACGCGCGCUACAAUGAUAACGACAACGAGUAUCCGCGUCGAAAGACGUAGGUAAUCUAUAAUCGUUAUCGUGAUGGGGAUUGAUCGUUGUAAUUAUCGGUCAUGAAAGAGGAAUCCCUAGUAUGCAUAUUUUAUUAGAAUGUGCAGAUUGAGUCCCUGCCCUUUGUACACACCGCCCGUCGCUACUACCGAGUGAAUGGUGUCAUGAUGCUCUGGGACUGGACGUCUAGCGGAAUUUCGGUUCUGUGUGAUGCUAGAAUCAGUGUAA
Molecule: ribosomal RNA, 1926 nt
Filed under: Henneguya zikaweiensis
Lineage: Eukaryota; Metazoa; Cnidaria; Myxozoa; Bivalvulida; Myxobolidae
Description: SSU rRNA
Rfam family: Eukaryotic small subunit ribosomal RNA
Source: RNAcentral